AAGUAACUUCAUUUAAGCAAAUUGGAAAUCCAUACAAACGUGGAAUGAACAAUGUAUGCCUUUUCUCGAUGAAGCCAGCCAAAUAUGGUAGAGAAAACAAUCACACCCACAAUGGAAUUUAAAAGAAUCAACUAUGAACAUUGAUUAAUGAUCAACAGAAUCCUCACUUUUCAAACAAAGAACCAAUUAAAAACCGAAAGAGCUUAAAUUCUUCCCAAUGAGAACCGUCUAGGCAUUGAAACUGGACGCUGUUUCAAUCCACUCAUUAAACCAUCACUCUUCUGUAUACUUUUCCUGCUUUUCAACGAAGAAACCAAUCUGUUGGCCAAUCUUGAAGGAGAAAAUGACACGCAAUUUAGAAGCAGUGGACACCAUUGGUGAUUUCUUGCUCAAGUUUGCAGCUCUAUUCGGUGACAGGGAAACCGCUGGUGGGCUCUUGAUUUUCACCUGAAACUUGGAAGCCGAUGUCGGGGACUUUAUCAAGAACUUAUGUGGAGAGUUCAGUUCUUUUCUAGAAAUCUGUGGAGUGUUCUGUUUAUUUCUAGAAAUCACUGGAGACCUUGUACUGCAGAACUUCUGCAGCUGAUUAGAACCUGUAGAAAGAAACAAAGGGUUUGAAAACAGUAUAGUCUUUUUAGCCCAUGGCUUAUUCCUGGGAGACACUCUAUUUGCCAAAUAUUUUCUAGAAUUUUCUUUCUCUGUUUCUCUCUUCUUUGGAGGUGAAACCAUCUUAAAGUUAAUGCGUGAUCAAGCUCUUUGAAGAGAUGAAGAAGUGGUUUGCGAUCGUAUGGAUUGCAGUUUAUCUUGCUUUCCCUUCUUUCUUUUGGAAUUGAGUUCAGUGUUUUCAGGGUUCGGCCUCUGUUUCCUCAGUUGGGUCAAUGGAGUUUUAAUAUCUUCUAGGGUGGUUUUACAGGCAACUGCAGGGACAAUUUCUCUUGCAAAUUGGCUGGCUUGCAGAAUUUCUCCCACAGUUUCUCCUACCAGCAUAGCUGGUAAUGACAUACGCCGCCAUUCUCCUAUUAGACUUGCUGUCAACUUUCCCACAGGAGAUUUCCUAGGGGUAGCACUUUUGAUCCUUCAAAUUUGCCAGUAAAAUGGUUAGUACAGAAAAGCUAAACCUUUUUUUUUUAGCACAACCUGAAUAAAUGCAAAACCCAUAAUUGAUUUUACCUUAGAGAUUCUUGCCUGCACCUGAGACUAGCUCUUAGAUAACCACUGGUAUUUCUAGGACUCAGGCUAACCCAGAUAUCACCUUAUUUCCUCCCGCCACUGUGUAUUGA
RNAcentral lists this unclassified non-coding RNA (1280 nucleotides) under Hevea brasiliensis (rubber tree). Lineage: Eukaryota; Viridiplantae; Streptophyta; Magnoliopsida; Malpighiales; Euphorbiaceae. The record is from RNAcentral.